This 282-nucleotide long non-coding RNA is filed under the name Gossypium barbadense (sea-island cotton). Its description in RNAcentral is "long non-coding RNA (GBAR_LNC019800)". Lineage: Eukaryota; Viridiplantae; Streptophyta; Magnoliopsida; Malvales; Malvaceae. The record is from RNAcentral.
UUUGCACCAUCGCCUCCAACCCUUUCGCACCUUCGAUAUCGAAAGCGUCAUAUCUGACGGGGUUGCCCGAAGCACAAAAUUGAUAUGUAAGAGAUGGUACUCUUAGCUGGUUGGAUCCGACAAUUUUUUGCCUAAUUCUUGUCCGUAGUUCUGGUGAUUGUAUGUUCUAGUUAAAAGCCAGCUUUAUUGUGUUCUCUGAUAAAAAAAACGACCCUGUUCUUGCUAUCACGCAUUUCACCAUCAUAAUAAACAAUAGCAUUAAUUCGUCCACUCAUUUUCAAC